Molecule: ribosomal RNA, 1338 nt
Filed under: uncultured bacterium
Lineage: Bacteria
Description: 16S ribosomal RNA
Rfam family: Bacterial small subunit ribosomal RNA
Source: RNAcentral
AGUCGAACGAGGCAGCAAAUGCCGAGUGGCGGAAGGGUGAGGAACGCGUGAGUAAUCUGCCCUCAAGUUGGGAAUAACAGCUGGAAACGGCUGCUAAUACCGAAUGUGGCUGUUUGACCGCAUGUUUGAGCAGUUUAAAGAUUUAUUGCUUGAGGAUGAGCUCGCGUCCCAUUAGUUAGUUGGCGGGGCAACGGCCCACCAAGACGAUGAUGGGUAGCUGGUCUGAGAGGAUGGUCAGCCACACUGGGACUGAGACACUGCCCAGACUCCUACGGGAGGCUGCAGUCGAGAAUCUUGGGCAAUGCGCGAAAGCGUGACCCAGCAAUGCCGCGUGUGUGAUGAAGGUCUUCGGAUUGUAAAACACUGUCUCCCGGGACGAAAGAUGACGGUACCGGGGAAGGAAGCCACGGCUAACUACGUGCCAGCAGCCGCGGUAAUACGUAGGUGGCGAGCGUUGUUCGGAUUUAUUGGGCGUAAAGGGUCUGUAGGAGGUUUGUUAAAUGCGGGGUGAAAUCCGGGAGCUCAACUCCCGAACUGCCUUGUAGACUGACAGACUGGAGUACUGGAGAGGUAAGCGGAAUACCAAGUGUAGCGGUGGAAUGCGUAGAUAUUUGGUAGAACACCAAGAGCGAAGGCAGCUUGCUGGACAGAUACUGACUCUGAAAGACGAAAGCGUGGGUAGCAAACAGGAUUAGAUACCCUGGUAGUCCACGCCGUAAACGUUGUCAACUUGAUGUGGGGGGAUUUAGUCCUCCCCGUAUCGAGGCCAACGCGAUAAGUUGACCGCCUGGGGACUACGGCCGCAAGGCUAAAACUCAAAGGAAUUGACGGGGGCCCGCACAAGCGGUGGAGCAUGUGGCUUAAUUCGAGGCAACGCGAAGAACCUUACCUGGGCUUGAAAUGUACCGGACAGUCUGUGAAAGCAGAUCUCUCUUCGGAGUCGGUGCACAGGUGCUGCAUGGCUGUCGUCAGCUCGUGCCGUGAGGUGUUCGGUUAAGUCCGACAACGAGCGCAACCCGUGUCAUCAGUUGCCAGCAAGUAAAGUUGGGGACUCUGGUGAGACUGCCUGUGUAAGCAGGAGGAAGGCGCGGAUGACGUCAAGUCAGUAUGGCCCUUACGCCCAGGGCUGCACACGUGCUACAAUGGGGGGUACAAUGAGAAGCAAAACCGCGAGGUGGAGCAAAUCUACAAAACCUCUCUUAGUUCGGAUUGCAGUCUGCAACUCGACUGCAUGAAGUUGGAAUCGCUAGUAAAGGCGUAUCAGCUACGACGCCUUGAAUACGUUCCCGGGCCUUGUACACACCGCCCGUCACAUCAUGGGAGUUGAUUGCACCCGAA